GGAGGCGUCCGAGCGCCUGGUGGGCUCCCCGGUCUUCAAAACCGGUGGCGGGCCUGAUCGGUCCGCAGGGUUCGAUUCCUUGCGCCUCCGC
This 91-nucleotide transfer RNA is filed under the name Actinomycetota bacterium. Its description in RNAcentral is "tRNA-Sec". It matches the Rfam family "Selenocysteine transfer RNA". The record is from RNAcentral. Lineage: Bacteria; Bacillati; Actinomycetota.